CCUACGGGUGGCAGCAGUCGAGAAUCAUUCACAAUGGGGGAAACCCUGAUGGUGCGACGCCGCGUGGGGGAAUGAAGGUCUUCGGAUUGUAAACCCCUGUCAUGUGGGAGCAAAUUAAAAAGAUAGUACCACAAGAGGAAGAGACGGCUAACUCUGUGCCAGCAGCCGCGGUAAUACAGAGGUCUCAAGCGUUGUUCGGAAUCACUGGGCGUAAAGCGUGCGUAGGCUGUUUCGUAAGUCGUGUGUGAAAGGCGCGGGCUCAACCCGCGGACGGCACAUGAUACUGCGAGACUAGAGUAAGGGAGGGGGAACCGGAAUUCUCGGUGUAGCAGUAAAAUGCGUAGAUAUCGAGAGGAACACUCGUGGCGAAGGCGGGUUCCUGGACAUUAACUGACGCUGAGGCACGAAGGCCGGGGGAGCGAAAGGGAUUAGAUACCCUAGUAGUC
Molecule: ribosomal RNA, 446 nt
Filed under: uncultured bacterium
Lineage: Bacteria
Description: partial 16S ribosomal RNA
Rfam family: Bacterial small subunit ribosomal RNA
Source: RNAcentral